UUCAAGAGUACGUGAAACCGUCCAGGGGUAAACCUGCGAAACUCGAAUGAACGAACGGAGAGAUUCAUCGUCAUUCCUCGGCGCACUUGUGCAAGUUCGAUGUCUUCGAUCUCGGUCGUUGGCACUGCUCGCGUUCGUAGCGUCCGGGGACGGCGUGCACUUCUCUCUUAGUAAUACAUCGCGACCCGUUCGAUGUCGGUCUAAGUGCCUUUCGGGAGUCUUUGUUCCUUUCACGAGGUACGGAGACCGUGAAGUGCACCGACCGGCCGUCGGACGGUAGAUCUGACGAAACGCAUACGCGCUAGCGCGCGUCAGGCCCGACGCAAGGCAACGUCGUACACCGCGUCCUGCCCGAGUGCGGACGUGGAUGCGGCGCGCCUGUCGUCGCAGCCGUGCUGUCUCUGACCGUGUGCGUAUCUGUCUGCGAUGAUUCAGUUUCGGGCACUCGCAGGACCCGUAU
This 460-nucleotide ribosomal RNA is filed under the name Dectochilus antucaria. RNAcentral's name for it is "partial 28S ribosomal RNA". Lineage: Eukaryota; Metazoa; Arthropoda; Insecta; Lepidoptera; Geometridae. The record is from RNAcentral.